GAGCACGAGCAUAGAAAGAGAAAAAGAGAGAAAAAGAGACACAGGUACGAGACGAGCUGUGGUGUGAGGUAGCCACCAGUCAACAGCGGAGACGGAGACGGAGAGUCCGAGGUAGCCCGUGCCUGUAGCUGCCCGUGGCUCGUUGUAACGUGACGCGAAGGUGUGCCAAGCUCUUUCGCUUGCCUGUUACUUCGUCCGAAGACGCCCGAUCGUACGUCUACCAUAGUGUCGCGUAUCGAAAGUGUCGGUAGUAGUGUUGUGUGAUAUAUUGGCCUGUCUGUCCUCGUGUGCCAGCCGAAAAAACUAUACCAGCCGAGCCGUACAUCAUCGCGGAAAACUGUCAAGAGUGUCGUGUGAUCUCAGACGCUGGCUUCAAACGCGAACGCUUACGGGCAAUCUUCAUCGCGAUCGUGGGGUUGCACGAAACAUAAGGCACGCAGGCACGCAGGCACGCAGGCACCGGUCGUUCUUCGAUGUGCGAACGCAGGCUAACGUGAUUAAUAGAGGCCGAGCGAGAGAAAAUAGAAAUUAUCUGGAAGUAGCAGCAGAGGCUGGUUGCUCGAGAAGGCAGAAAAGUUGUUCGCAGAAUGUCGCAGGAUUUCACGACUGUCCAAAGACUGCGAGUCACGUCACGAGCGUGUGACGAAUUAACUAGCUGAGAAUGUCGGAGCAAAACGGGCCCAGCGAGGGCCCUGGGCCCGGUCCAGGGCCGGGUCCUGGUUGGUGGCCACCCUCACAGUCCUGGAAGACCAACUCCUGCACCGCUGCCUCCUCCUCUACUUGUUCAACCGUUUCAGACAACUCCGCCUCCGUCUCUGCCUCUUGCACCACCUCUACGUCCUCCUUGGCGACCACCACAUCGGCCACUUUAUCGACCAGCUGCUGUUCCUCCACCCCUGGCGGUGGACCGUCUUGCACGAUCACCGCGGCCCGCUCCUCCGAAACGGGAAAGAACGUCUCUGUCACGACGAUCAAUGUACCCCCUAAUCAGGACAUGCACGAUGGCAAGGGUAUAUGCAAGUAUCUUGGCGGCCAGAAUGGCGUGACAGUAUCGGUAGUGUCAAACUGUGGCUCCAUACUGGGAUGUGGAAACGCGAAUGUUGUAUCUACCACGGGGAUAGGCAGUAACACCGGCACACAGAGUAUUGGCAUCGGAGUGAACAUCCUUGACCAGAGCACGGCGGAUGAUGACGCGGAGGACAGCGACGUUGAGAUAAGCAAAAUCGACUUCCGAGGGGUGAAUUUGCGUACGAAGAAGAAACGAGACGUGUCUGGUAGUCAGAGUCAAAGCGGGGAGAAAAUCGGCGAUGGAGAGGUCGAGGAUGGGAACGGUUGUUACGACGGAAGCGAUGCGUCUCAGCAACAACCGGAGAGGCCCAUGUCAUGGGAGGGAGAACUAUCCGAUCAAGAAAUGUCUUCCAAUACGAUUACAAAUCAAGAUACACACGAGGACACGUCAAUGGAGGGUGUUCAAGUAUGUGGCGCGAGUCCCGGGCCAAUGGAACAAAAGUUUCCCAUAAAACCAGAACCAGAUUUUCAGUCCAACCCAGGUUUCACAUUUGGCUCUUUUCACGACACCGGAUUACCUCUGAAUCACGGCCAGCAAAUACAACAACAACAGCAACAACAGCGCAACAUUGAGAAUCUUGAACAAACACAACAAAACGAUUUGCCUCUUCUCGUAGGAAAGUUACUUGGUGGUUACAAUAGUUCGACUCCGAAUCACAGUCCAGUGUUGAAUCCUAGACACCAUUUAACAAAGCAUAGCCACACGAGAUCGCAGGUGCCGUCACCGGACUCGGCCAUUCAUUCCGCAUACAGCGUAUUCAGCUCCCCGACGCAAAGCCCUCACGCAACUCGCCACUCCCCCCUGGGCGCGGCAAGUCCAGUUCCAUCUUCGUCGCUAUCCUUGUCGCGACACAGUUUCAACAAUUCCACUUCCUCGUUGUCGCUCUCGUUGUCACACUCCCUCUCGAGAAACAAUUCGGACGCCUCGAGCAGCUGCUACAGCUACGGCUCUCUCAGCCCACCCACACACUCGCCCGUCCAGCAACCGAGACAUCCGCAGCAUCACCAGCAUCAAGUUGCUCAAGGAAGCCCACUUCAUCUGCCAGCAACCGCUUCUCCCGCCAUUACUCAUCACUACGCUUCCUCUGCACCGGGUUCUGAGCUAUCUCCAGAAGGACACGCUGCUACAGACGAUCAGGAAGACUGUAGAAUACCCUCGGCACCGUCUGGUAUAUCCACAAGGCAGCAACUAAUCAAUACCCCGUGUCCAAUUUGCGGGGAUAAGAUCAGUGGUUUUCAUUAUGGAAUAUUCUCGUGCGAGUCGUGCAAGGGAUUUUUCAAACGCACCGUCCAGAAUCGAAAGAAUUAUGUGUGCCUUAGAGGCGCGGGCUGUCCAGUCACCGUUGUUACCAGGAAAAAAUGCCCCGCCUGCAGAUUCGAAAAGUGCCUCAAUAUGGGUAUGAAGCUCGAGGCGAUUAGGGAGGAUCGCACCAGGGGUGGCAGAAGUACCUAUCAGUGUACAUAUACUUUUCCACCAAAUUUUGUCGGUAGUCCUGCAAGUAACAUGUCCAGCGACAAAUUAGCUGCCGGAGGAAAUUGUAGUCCAGCUCCAGCUGGUAACGAACAUCACUAUCCGGCAAGGCACCAUUCGAAUCACUCGCAUAAGAUGCAAAUGGUACCGCAACUUCUACAGGAUAUCAUGGACGUAGAGCACUUGUGGCAUUACAAUGAUAACGAUCGUAUGACUGGGAUUCAAAACGCAGGAACGAAUCUUACUAGAAACAACGAUUCAAUGUUAUUGAGCGUUAGAAGUAACGGAGGAUCUGGAAUAGAGAACGACACAGGUUCAGGUAUCGAGUGUUCCUCCAAUAGAACUACAGGAAAUGGUAAUCCUAGUAAUAGAAGAGAUAACAGAUCAUGCUCCAAUGUUUCUACUGUUGGUAACGAACAGCAUGCUGCAUCCGUUGGUAACAGUUCUCAAAUCAACAAUACGAAUUGUAAUCCAACUCAACAUCCUGAUUUUCUGUCGAACCUCUGCAAUAUCGCUGAUCAUCGACUCUACAAAAUAGUGAAGUGGUGCAAGAGUUUGCCGUUAUUUAAAAACAUUUCGAUCGAUGAUCAGAUCUGUCUGUUGAUUAAUUCUUGGUGCGAGCUACUGCUCUUCUCAUGCUGCUUUCGCAGUAUGAGCACUCCCGGUGAAAUUAGAGUGUCUCUCGGUAAGUCGAUUACACUGGAACAAGCUAGGCAGCUUGGCUUAGCGACCUGCAUCGAGAGGAUGCUUGCAUUUACUAACAAUUUGAGAAGGCUCCGAGUAGAUCAGUACGAAUACGUGGCGAUGAAGGUAAUAGUACUGUUGACCUCUGAUACAAGUGAACUGAAAGAACCUGAAAAAGUUAGAGCAUCUCAGGAAAAGGCUUUACAAGCAUUGCAACAAUAUACUAUCGCAAGGUACCCAGAAAUGCCUGCUAAAUUUGGUGAACUAUUAUUGAGAAUUCCAGAUUUACAAAGAACAUGCCAAGCAGGAAAGGAAUUAUUAAGUGCUAAACGUGCUGAAGGAGAAGGCAGCUCGUUUAAUCUGUUGAUGGAAUUGUUGAGAGGAGAUCACUGAAUCGCUAUUACCACAUUGAACAAUGCCAAAUAUUAGAAAUUAGGCUUUCCAAUGAUUUCUAUCCUAUAUGAUAAGUUUAUUGAUAGAUAGAUCUAUUUACAAUGGAUUAAACAGGAAACGGUUGAUGGUUAUUUAACGUGAACUAAAUACACUAAUGUGCUAGAACUAAGACGACUAAAUGGGUAAUACACAACUCACAAGUAAUAGCUUACAACUCGUAACAACUCGGCAACUCAACUCUCGAUUUCUCACAACUCGACUCUUCGCAACUCGACUCUCCACUCACGACUCUCCAACUCGACUCUCAACUCACGACUCCCCUCAACUCGACUCAUCACCACUCGACUCUCCAGAUUCCAUGCUUAUGAGGUCCAUAAGUUCAGGGAAUCGGAUGUAUUAAAUAAUCAAGGAGUAGCAGAAAUGUACAUGAAACAAAACCAUAAACAUUGCAGUCCAUGAUACAUUAAUUCUGGGUGAAGGGACUACAUUCUUGUAAGACUAAUUAGAGGUUCACUGUUUAAUGCAUGAAGCAAAUGAGAAAUGAUGUUUCGUUUCUCUAUAUUUUUUUGUUUUUGUUCUUUUUUUAAAAUUGAAAUUACUUUCACGGGGAUGUUGCAUAAUACAACUCCACCUUGAAACAUAACGAAUUUCGAAGCGGCCUGUGGUAUGCUCGAAAUAUUCAGCAUGCAUAUUUCUAUGCAAAAGAGACUGAAAGUAUAAUUGAAGCAGAGAUGCAGAGCAUUUACUUUUACAAUAAUAUCAAUGUACAGAGAUAGAAAGAUUAAGAGAGAGAGAGAGAGAGAGAGAGAGAGAGAGAGAGGGAAAGGAAGAAUGAAAGAGAGAGUGAAAGAGAGCACAAGAGAGAGAGAGAGAGAGAGAGAGAGAGAGAGAGAGAGUGAGAGUGAGAGUUGGUAUCAAAUAGCAUGAAAAUGCUAAAUUUUAUUAGGUAGGUUCAAGUAAACGACGAAUACAGAGUUUUAACCUUGAUAAUUAUUAUUAUUAUUAUUAUAAUAAAACAACCAGUAUUUUGUAUUGUUCUGCGCUUACUUAAAAAUAAGACAUAGAAUGAUGUCUUAUGUCCCGGUAAUGGAAGUGUACUUAAAACAUGAGUCGACCAAUUGUUUACUUAUAGAGCAGUUAAUCGUGUAAUAAUUAAUAGGUAAUAACAUUUAGCUUAUCAACAGAACAUUAUAAUUUUUAUCUAUUACACAAAUACAUUUUUUUUUAUUCUCUGUACGUUUUAUUAACACGCCGACAACGGAUGAAAGAUUUCGUACGAUAGCUUGAUACAUACAUAUCUUUUUAAACCGCGUGGAACGAUUUCUGAUAUUCUUUUUCUUGUAAAUGAAUUUUAUCUUGAGACGACACACGUUUUCAAAUUCUAUGUUACAUUCAGUGAAGUUUUUGUCGGAUUUUUAUAAAAAUGACGUUUGUUUGUUGUUAAAAUUUUACGAUUAUUUUAUUGUUUAGAAACUAAGACAGUUUACGUUUGGUUUAUUAUGUUUAUUUAAAAAAUAUGUAUCCUUUGUCGUAAUGAAACUAGAAUGUUAGUACCAGUGAUUAAGGAUUUUUAUAAAAGAUGAAUAUAAAAUUAUAUUUGCAAUAUUUGGAAAAUUCAAUUAUAUUCAUCGAGUAGAUUAUCGAAAGGAAAAGUUAAUUUGUUAUUCGUUUAAUGUCACGUUGUUAAACAAAAGAUAUAAUGAAAAUUAUUAAAUUAUUAUGAAAGUUGGAAAAGUAUAAUGAAAUAUUGCGCUUUCGUUGUUAACUGGUGCAAUUUCUUAUUUUGAAUAGAUGUGUAAAAUUUUUUUAUAAAAAAAAUUAGUCGUAAAAUGGACGAGUUGGAGCUUCCUGUUUAAAAUGAAGAAUACUCAUCUCUAUUCGUUGGUACUAUAAUGAGACUGUCAUAUCAACGCAUUAUUCUUUUUAUUAACGCAGCAAUUAAGUUUCUUUUGAUUCAUCGAUAAGAAUAUUACAACAUGCAAUAUUUAAUAAUAACAGUAAUAAUAACUUGUAAGAAUCGUCUUCCCAUCUUUAUAGCAGAUUUCCUUGUGCAGAAAGUGUAGGUUGACCUGUUAUAUACAGAGUGUUCAAGAAAUAUGAUAAAAUAUGAUAAAAGACAUGACAAAGACAUUUUCAAUCAUUUUGAUUUCAAUUGUACUAUUACGAUACAGCUAAUACAAGCUUGUUUUUAAGAUAUUGAGAUAUUUAAUAAAAUAAACCUCUUAUUUAUCAAUUUUAAUGAAACACUCUGUGUAAACAUACAUAUUGACAUAUUGUGUGCGUCGUGAAACAUUUUGUUUGUAAAGUUUAGUUUCCUCGUCGAAUAUCAAAUUCUUAUUGUACUUCUCAUUCGAAAAAUAUUCUCGCUUGUUAGCCAUUUAAUGUGUUACAUACUCUUCAGGUUUCAAUACCGUAUAAUUUUUCAUAAUAAGAUUUUCUUCCCUGUAGAGGCCAACUUCUCUAUUUCCAAGGAAUCUUUUUAAAUAGUUCUUACUUAGUAUUUGAAUAACAAACAGGAUUAAAGCAAAACUUCUGUCAUAUCUAUCUAUAAAAUAUAUCAAUGGUAAUACAACUUAUCUGAAUCUGUAGUAACCUACUGAGAAAAUAAUUCCUGAGAAAAAACAUUGUUUUGCUAUAAUUAGUUAUUGCCAUUGUAAUUAUUCAAAAGAAAGGGAAAGCUAUAUUAUGGCGAAAGAUACAGAGGAUUAUGCGGUAAAGAAUGUGUACGCCAUUCAGGUUACAAUUUUUAAUAAUGAACUAUGUAUAAAUAGAAAUUCGCCCGUUAAAAGAAGUAUUAUUAGUACAUUAGUUAGUGAAAUACUACGAAAAAAAUUACUGAAAUAUUUGUGCCUUCGAUAAAAUUUUGUAUUUUAAUCCUCUUUCGUAAUGCGAGGUAGACACGAGAACAAUUAUAUUAAGAACAUCGUGUAGAGAUAAUAUAAAUAUAUAAAACCAACAAGCAACAGUCUGAUUAAAAUUAUUAGUCAAUGAAGCAUUCUCUAACGAAAUGAUUAUCGAACUUUCGAUAAGAUUAUUUCUCUGUUUCAAAGAAACUGAAAAGCAUCCAAUGCUUCUAACAUCCGUCUUUGAUUGAUUCGAAAUUGAUUCGAAAUUGAUUCGAAAAUUUGCUCUAUUCUAUUUUAUCGAUCGACGAAAUCGAAAAAAUAUAAUCGAAAAUAUAAUAUAUCUUGGCAUAUAUUAUAUUUCACAUCUACCAUAAUUAAACAAUCUUUUAAUCAUACAUUGAAUAAAGAGAGAAUCGCGAUUGGUAGCUAAAACAAUUAUAAAAAUAAAAUUUAACCAGUAAAGUCUUUCACUUUUAAUUAGUUUAAUUCAAUGUCAAUUAUUCUGUAUAUGGUAGUGCUAAAUUUUAAUUAACUAUUUAUAUGAAAGAAUUAAAAUUUAUUUUAGAUCGGAAGUUUUGUACCAAUUAAAAGGAAAUAUAAAUUAUAUGACGCUGCUGUAAAUAUAAAAGUACAGAAUAAUAGUUUUCUGUAACGUAUGUAUAAAAGAUAGGGAGGGACGAAGAGAUUGAUGAGUCUGAUAAACGAAUAAAUUUAAACGUAGGAGGAAGAGGGAGAAAAGGCACGUGCACGAAAAAGAGAAUAUCUGUGAAUGCAUAACAUUAAUUUAAACGAAAGUGCGCGGAAUAAAAUUAUAAUGACGUUAUAUUUAUAUUUAACUCGUUAAAAAAAUAAUCGAUUGUGAUCUAAAUUUGAUAAAAGAAAAGAAAACAAAACAAAACAAAACAAAGGAAUAUAUCCAGACGUUUAUAGCUUAAUCAACUUUGUUUCAUGUCCACUCAACUAUGACGAAAACUUUAGUUUAAGCACAGUUUUAUUUAAUUGAUCCUCGAUUAAAACUCCGAUAAUAACAAUAAUAAUCGUCUUCCGUUUGCAAAGAUAUAGUAUUAAUUAUAUAAUAACAAUAAUAACAAAAUUGGUCAAAAUUUCUUCGCCAAUCAUGACAAUAUACAUAUACGCUCAAAAUUGUGGAAUUCAUUAAUAUACAUCGAUCAAAGAGCUUAAAUACAGAGUACAUUAUAAUGAUUAAUACACAUAUAUGUACAUGUGCGUGUUGAGACUAAAGAAAUCGUAUGCUAGAAAUAAUAAAUGUUACUCGCGCAUAGUUUAAUAUGUAACCUUUAAUAGGAUUAUCAAAGCGGAGCGGAGAAAAUUUUUAUAUCAGAUGCAAAGAUAUUAAUGAACUUUAUAUCAUGCACGAUGAACUGACUUGCAUUUAUUUUUCUUCCUAUACUAUCGUAUUUCGUGUUUUGUUUGUAAUAAUCCUUUUUCUUUUCAUAAGAACACGAUCAUUUCUAAGGUAAGACAGGUGAAUAACUUAGAUUAUCGACAAAAAUAUUUGCUUGUCAAGUCAGUUAAUCGGAUGAAAGCAGAUUGCGAAAAUAUUAUAAUCACGAAAAUACUUCAUAUUCCCAAUAUAGAAAGAUGGCUAUUUAAACGCAAUUAGAGGAUAAUUUUAUACAUACAAUACAACAUGUUCAAUACGAAAUAAAUAAAUUUUUAUAAAGUA
Molecule: RNA transcript, 8149 nt
Organism: Bombus pyrosoma
Lineage: Eukaryota; Metazoa; Arthropoda; Insecta; Hymenoptera; Apidae
Gene: Hr39
Gene name: nuclear hormone receptor FTZ-F1 beta
Exons: 9
Source: RefSeq, a predicted model, not a curated record